GACGAACCGUCCGAACGUUAUUCGGAAUUACUGGGCUUAAAGGGUGCGUAGGCGGCGCAGAAAGUAGGGUGUGAAAUCCCUCGGCUCAACCGAGGAACUGCGCCCUAAACUACUGUGCUUGAGGGAGAUAGAGGUGAGCGGAACUUAGGGUGGAGCGGUGAAAUGCGUUGAUAUCCUAAGGAACACCGGUGGCGAAAGCGGCUCACUGGAUCUCUUCUGACGCUGAGGCACGAAAGCUAGGGUAGCGAACGGG
RNAcentral lists this ribosomal RNA (253 nucleotides) under uncultured bacterium. RNAcentral's name for it is "partial 16S ribosomal RNA". It matches the Rfam family "Bacterial small subunit ribosomal RNA", at positions 524 to 776 of the family's 1533-position model. The record is from RNAcentral.